RNAcentral lists this ribosomal RNA (468 nucleotides) under uncultured bacterium. RNAcentral describes it as "partial 16S ribosomal RNA". It matches the Rfam family "Bacterial small subunit ribosomal RNA", at positions 28 to 507 of the family's 1533-position model. The record is from RNAcentral.
GAUGAACGCUGGCGGCGUGCUUAACACAUGCAAGUCGAACGGACAGGCCCUGCUCUUGUGGGGUGCACGUGUGGCGAGCGGGUGAGUAAAACGUGAGUAACCUGCACCUGAAUUUGGGAUAACUUCAGGAGACUGGGGCUCAUACAGGGUAUGAGCUCCUGAUGCAUGGUGGUGGUUGGUAAGUUUCGGCGGUUCGGGCUGGUCUCGAGGGUUAUCCGCUUGUUGGUGAGGUAGUGGCUUACCAAGGCUUUGAAGGAUAGCCGGCCUUGGAGGUUGACCAGGGUCAAUGCGACUGAGAGACGGAGCAGUCGGCUACGGGAGGCAGCAGUGGAGAACAUGACAGAAUGGGCGGACGCCUGAUACGGCAACGCCGCGUGCGUGAUGCCGUCCUUCGGGUUGUAAACCGCUGUGUCAGUGGACAUGGAGGUAUUGACGGUAAUUGGUAAAAAAGCAACGGCUAACUACGUG